This 447-nucleotide ribosomal RNA is filed under the name uncultured bacterium. RNAcentral's name for it is "bacterial SSU rRNA". It matches the Rfam family "Bacterial small subunit ribosomal RNA", at positions 355 to 825 of the family's 1533-position model. The record is from RNAcentral.
UCGGGAAUUUUGGGCAAUGGGCGAAAGCCUGACCCAGCAACGCCGCGUGAAGGAUGAAGUAUUUCGGUAUGUAAACUUCGUAAGAAUAGGAAGAAUAAAUGACGGUACUAUUUGUAAGGUCCGGCUAACUACGUGCCAGCAGCCGCGGUAAUACGUAGGGACCAAGCGUUGUUCGGAUUUACUGGGCGUAAAGGGCGCGUAGGCGGUGUGUCAAGUCAGUUGUGAAAUCUCCGAGCUUAACUCGGAACGGUCAACUGAUACUGUCACACUAGAGUACAGAAGGGGCAAUCGGAAUUCUUGGUGUAGCGGUGAAAUGCGUAGAUAUCAAGAGGAACACCUGAGGCGAAGGCGGGUUGCUGGGCUGAUACUGACGCUGAGGCGCGAAAGCUAGGGUAGCAAACAGGAUUAGAUACCCCCGUAGUCCCUGAGCGGGCUGGCAAGGCGCAU